Small nucleolar RNA from Fukomys damarensis (Damara mole-rat), 135 nucleotides. Its record names the gene SNORA70. It matches the Rfam family "Small nucleolar RNA SNORA70". From Rfam's summary of the family: snoRNA U70 seems to be exclusive to mammals and is a member of the H/ACA class of snoRNA which contain H (ANANNA) and ACA box motifs. The record is from Ensembl. Lineage: Eukaryota; Metazoa; Chordata; Mammalia; Rodentia; Bathyergidae.
CUGCAGUCAAUUAAACCGACUGGAUUCCUCUGCUGAUGAGUGCUCAGCGUGCAACGCCUGUGAACAGCAACCUCUUCAUUAGUACACACAGCCUGCUGCUUGUCUGCACUGCCCUAAGGAACCUUGGAGACACUG